AGAGUUUGAUCCUGGCUCAGGACAAACGCUGACGGUGUGCUUUAGACAUGCAAGUCGAACGAGAAAGCCCUUCGGGGUGAGUACAGUGGCGAACGGGUGAGUAACACGUGGGUAACCUGCCCCUCGCAGGGGGACAACCGGGGGAAACCCCGGCUAAUACCCCGUACGCUUGCCGGGUCGCAUGGCCCGGCAAGGAAAGGUAGCUUCGGCCAUCCGGCGAGGGAUGGGCCCGCGGUGCAUUAGCUAGUUGGUGGGGUAACGGCUCACCAAGGCGACGAUGCAUAGCUGGUCUGAGAGGAUGAUCAGCCACACUGGGACUGAGACACGGCCCAGACUCCUACGGGAGGCAGCAGUCGGGAAUCUUGCGCAAUGGGCGAAAGCCUGACGCAGCAACACCGUGUGGGCGAUGAAGGCCUUCGGGUCGUAAAGCCCUGUUGUUGGGGACGAAGGGCGAAGGGUUAAUAGCCCCUAGCCUGACGGUACCCUUCGAGGAAGCCCCGGCUAACUACGUGCCAGCAGCCGCGGUAAUACGUAGGGGGCGAGCGUUGUCCGGAAUUAUUGGGCGUAAAGAGCGUGUAGGCGGUUUGGUAAGUCUGCCGUGAAAACCCGGGGCUCAACCCCGGGCGUGCGGUGGAUACUGCCAGGCUAGAGUCCGGAAGAGGCGAGUGGAAUUCCUGGUGUAGCGGUGGAAUGCGCAGAUAUCAGGAGGAACACCAACGGCGAAGGCAGCUCGCUGGGACGGUACUGACGCUGAGGCGCGAAAGCGUGGGGAGCGAACAGGAUUAGAUACCCCCGUAGUCC
Molecule: ribosomal RNA, 801 nt
Filed under: uncultured Rubrobacter sp.
Lineage: Bacteria; Bacillati; Actinomycetota; Rubrobacteria; Rubrobacterales; Rubrobacteraceae
Description: bacterial SSU rRNA
Rfam family: Bacterial small subunit ribosomal RNA
Source: RNAcentral